RNAcentral lists this transfer RNA (61 nucleotides) under Heterocephalus glaber (naked mole-rat). It matches the Rfam family "tRNA", at positions 6 to 65 of the family's 71-position model. From Rfam's summary of the family: Transfer RNA (tRNA) molecules are approximately 80 nucleotides in length. Their secondary structure includes four short double-helical elements and three loops (D, anti-codon, and T loops). Lineage: Eukaryota; Metazoa; Chordata; Mammalia; Rodentia; Bathyergidae. The record is from Rfam by way of RNAcentral.
UGCAGCUCAAUGGUAGAGUUCUUGCUUAGCAUGCAUGAGGCCCUGGGUUCAAUUCCUAGCA